CUUUUAUUUUUUUCAAAAAGAAGGAGCCUUUAUUUACCCCUGUUCUGGAGAUGGUUAACCCUCUUUUCUCCUCUUGUACUUCUCUCGUUUGAAUGCGGAGUGAAUGUUCUCAGUACCAUUUGCACCCUUGACAAGUUGCAAUGAAUACUUGUUCCUAACAAUGUUGUUGCUGCUUGCACCGAAUCAAUAGAACAACAUAAGGAUAAACUUGUGCAGGAGGCACCGAGUGCAAUAUACUCUUUGGAGGUUUGAUAGUUGACACUACAUUGUAAUUCGGUGACUGAACGUGAUAAUAUUUUGCAUGCUGAACAUAUGGCAAAGCUAUGCGAAGACAACGAGGAGGUGAGUGGUGGCAAAGACAGUGAGGAAGAAGACAGGAAUGGGAGAAUUUGAUGUGCAAAACCAGAGUUCUGGGAUCACAGAUUGACAAGCUUUUGGGUAGAGUGAAUAAGAAAAAAAAAGAGCACAUCCGUUACUUAUUUUUUUGAGGCGGGUUGUUGAUUCUUUUCAAUCUAUCCUUUUUGAAUGCAUUCAGUAUUCUAUUCUAUAGUGCAAACUUCAGUUAAACAAACGAUUAGAAAGUCUUCGCAAGAGUGUGUUCAGUAUUCUUCGGUCUUGAGUUGACAGCCAAAUUAUAUUGUCUGUUUUAUCUGUCUGGUAGUAUAGUCAUUGGCACUCAUAAUUUUAAAGAAUUACCAUAAACACUGUAUUCAUAAAUUUAAAAUACAUUCUCCCUCUCGUACAUCUUUUG
Cajanus cajan (pigeon pea) is the source of this 751-nucleotide non-coding RNA. The record is from RefSeq and is a predicted model, not a curated record. NCBI's taxonomy places the organism in Eukaryota, Viridiplantae, Streptophyta, Magnoliopsida, Fabales, Fabaceae.